Non-coding RNA from Nothobranchius furzeri (turquoise killifish), 585 nucleotides. NCBI's taxonomy places the organism in Eukaryota, Metazoa, Chordata, Actinopteri, Cyprinodontiformes, Nothobranchiidae. The record is from RefSeq and is a predicted model, not a curated record.
UGUCUCAAUUCAGGGUCUGCAUCCUACCUCGGCCGGAUUCGUCGGCCGGUUACGUCACAGCGCCGCGACUCGGCCUGUCCCAAUUCGAAGACUCCUUCAAAUGCGGUCGACGAAUGCGGCCUUCUUUUCGCCUGAAUGAAGGAUGGGUCGGGUGUAUCCUUCAAUAGGUAGCAUUUCCCAAGAUGCCUUGCGGGCCGGCCGGCAGAAAAACUUAAAAACAAUGGCGGACAGUGAAGCGGGAGCUGUCGGAGAGGAUUGCGCAUAUAAAUGACCAAAAGAGAAAACCAGGGAAUUUAUUAAGCUUAGGGCGGAGAUGGACCACAUGAUCACCGGAGCAAAGUAUUCGGCGGCUGUGGCAUGGAGACUAUUCUGGAGAAAAUGGGCAUCCAGGGGAAGGUGCCAGCAAUGAGCUUCUGGAGCUGAUCUGGGAGGACUUGAGGCUGCAGAGGGAGGCAGAGCAGCAGAGAGCACAGGAGAGAAGGAAGAACUUUGACAGCUUUUUACUUUGCUAGAAAAAAAUGGUUAAUGAAGAUUAAACAUGUACAUGUAAAAGAAAUAUCUAAAUAAAAUCAGUUCUGCAUUAAA